This 465-nucleotide ribosomal RNA is filed under the name uncultured bacterium. RNAcentral describes it as "partial 16S ribosomal RNA". It matches the Rfam family "Bacterial small subunit ribosomal RNA", at positions 338 to 795 of the family's 1533-position model. The record is from RNAcentral.
CCUACGGGUGGCUGCAGUAGGGAAUCUUCCACAAUGGACGAAAGUCUGAUGGAGCAACGCCGCGUGAGUGAAGAAGGGUUUCGGCUCGUAAAGCUCUGUUGGUAGUGAAGAAAGAUAGAGGUAGUAACUGGCCUUUAUUUGACGGUAAUUACUUAGAAAGUCACGGCUAACUACGUGCCAGCAGCCGCGGUAAUACGUAGGUGGCAAGCGUUGUCCGGAUUUAUUGGGCGUAAAGCGAGUGCAGGCGGUUAAAUAAGUCUGAUGUGAAAGCCUUCGGCUCCACCGGAGAAUUGCAUCAGAAACUGUUGAACUGGAGUGCAGAAGAGGAGAGUGGAACUCCAUGUGUAGCGGUGGAAUGCGUAGAUAUUAGGAGGAACACCAGUGGCGAAGGCGGCUUGCUGGGCUUUGACUGACGCUGAGGCUCGAAAGCGUGGGGAGCAAACAGGAUUAGAUACCCGGGUAGUC